GAUGAACGCUGGCGGCGUGCCUAAUACAUGCAAGUCGAGCGAACGGACGAGAAGCUUGCUUCUCUGAUGUUAGCGGCGGACGGGUGAGUAACACGUGGAUAACCUACCUAUAAGACUGGGAUAACUUCGGGAAACCGGAGCUAAUACCGGAUGAUAUUUUGAACCGCAUGGUUCAAAAGUGAAAGACGGUCUUGCUGUCACUUAUAGAUGGAUCCGCGCUGCAUUAGCUAGUUGGUAAGGUAACGGCUUACCAAGGCAACGAUGCAUAGCCGACCUGAGAGGGUGAUCGGCCACACUGGAACUGAGACACGGUCCAGACUCCUAAGGGAGGCAGCAGUAGGGAAUCUGCCGCAAUGGGCGAAAGCCUGACGGAGCAACGCCGCGUGAGUGAUGAAGGUCUUCGGAUCGUAAAACUCUGUUAUUAGGGAAGAACAUAUGUGUAAGUAACUGUGCACAUCUUGACGGUACCUAAUCAGAAAGCCACGGCUAACUACGUG
Molecule: ribosomal RNA, 497 nt
Filed under: uncultured bacterium
Lineage: Bacteria
Description: partial 16S ribosomal RNA
Rfam family: Bacterial small subunit ribosomal RNA
Source: RNAcentral